AGUGAACGCUGGCGGUAGGCCUAACACAUGCAAGUCGAACGGAAGCACAGUAGGAGCUUGCUCUUACGGGUGGCGAGUGGCGGGCGGGUGAGGAGUACAUCGGAAUCUACUUUUUCGUGGGGGAUAACGUAGGGAAACUGACGCUACUACCGCAUAUGACCUACGGGUGAAAGCAGGGGAUCUUCGCAGCUUUCGCGACUGAAUGAGCCGAUGUCGGAUUAGCUAGUUGGUUGGGUAAAGGCCCACCAAGGCGACGAUGCGUAGCUGGUCUGAGAGGAUGAUCAGCCACACUGGAACUGAGACACGGUCCAGACUCCUACGGGAGGCAGCAGUGGGGAAUAUUGGACAAUGGGCGCAAGCCUGAUCCAGCCAUGCCGCGUGAGUGAAGAAGGCCUUCGGGCUGUAAAGCCCUUUUGUUGGGAAAGAAAAUCAGCAUAUUAAUCCCUGGCUGUUCUGACGGUACCCAAAGAAUAAGCACCGGCUAACUUCGUG
RNAcentral lists this ribosomal RNA (492 nucleotides) under uncultured bacterium. RNAcentral describes it as "partial 16S ribosomal RNA". It matches the Rfam family "Bacterial small subunit ribosomal RNA", at positions 29 to 507 of the family's 1533-position model. The record is from RNAcentral.